RNAcentral lists this small nuclear RNA (101 nucleotides) under Fukomys damarensis (Damara mole-rat). Lineage: Eukaryota; Metazoa; Chordata; Mammalia; Rodentia; Bathyergidae. The record is from RNAcentral.
GUGCUCAUUUCAGUAGCACUAAAAUUUGAAUGACACAGAGAAAAUUAGCACAGCCCAUGCACAAUGAUGGCAUAAAAAUUUGUCAGUGUUCCCCGUUUUUU